UCUGGCUCAGGAUGAACGCUAGCGAUAGGCCUAACACAUGCAAGUCGAGGGGCAGCACAUGAGUAGCAAUACGAUGGUGGCGACCGGCGCACGGGUGAGUAACACGUAUGCAACCUACCUUUAACAGGGGAAUAACCCGUUGAAAAACGGACUAAUACUCCAUAACACAGGGGUCCCGCAUGGGAAUAUUUGUUAAAGAUUAAUCGGUUGAAGAUGGGCAUGCGUUCCAUUAGCUUGUUGGUGAGGUAACGGCUCACCAAGGCCACGAUGGAUAGGGGAACUGAGAGGUUUAUCCCCCACACUGGAACUGAGACACGGUCCAGACUCCUACGGGAGGCAGCAGUGAGGAAUAUUGGUCAAUGGAGGCAACUCUGAACCAGCCAAGUUCCGCGUGAAGGAUGAAGGUCUUAUGGAUUGUAAACUUCUUUUGCAAGGGAAUAAAGUGGGGGACGUGUCCUCCUUUGCAUGUACCUUGCGAAUAAGGAUCGGCUAACUCCGUGCCAGCCGCCGC
RNAcentral lists this ribosomal RNA (511 nucleotides) under uncultured bacterium. Its description in RNAcentral is "bacterial SSU rRNA". It matches the Rfam family "Bacterial small subunit ribosomal RNA", at positions 18 to 518 of the family's 1533-position model. The record is from RNAcentral.